This 253-nucleotide ribosomal RNA is filed under the name uncultured bacterium. Its description in RNAcentral is "partial 16S ribosomal RNA". It matches the Rfam family "Bacterial small subunit ribosomal RNA", at positions 524 to 776 of the family's 1533-position model. The record is from RNAcentral.
UACAGAGGUCUCAAGCGUUGUUCGGAUUCAUUGGGCGUAAAGGGUGCGUAGGCGGCGCGGUAAGUCGGGUGUGAAAUCUUGGAGCUUAACUCCGAAACUGCAUUCGAUACUGCCGUGCUUGAGGACUGGAGAGGAGACUGGAAUUUACGGUGUAGCGGUGAAAUGCGUAGAUAUCGUAAGGAAGACCAGUGGCGAAGGCGCUCAUCUGGCCCAAUACUGACGCUGAAGCGCGAAAGCUAGGGGAGCAAACGGG